Molecule: long non-coding RNA, 3222 nt
Organism: Parus major (Great Tit)
Lineage: Eukaryota; Metazoa; Chordata; Aves; Passeriformes; Paridae
Exons: 2
Source: RefSeq, a predicted model, not a curated record
GCGGAGGGGAAGGGCUGCGCUCUGAGAACAUGGCGGGCGUGGCGAGGGGAUGGACCCCCGGUAUCUGCGGUCGUUCAGCCGCCUUGGGGCUCCCUCAUCGCCUCCCAGCGCGGGGAGCCUUGGGGAGAGGCCACGCGCAGAGUUCUGGCUGGGUAUGGCCGUCGUGGUGGUGCCACCCAGCGCCCUGAGGAACAGCCGAGCCCGGCGGUGUUGAGGGGUCAGUGCCCCCUCAGAGCCAUGGGAAGGGUUUCAGGUGUAGUGAUCCGCGUAGGUGGUUUGGAAAAAAGUUCUUGGAAGCCAACACGUUAAAAAAAAAAAAUAAAAAUUGGGGAAUGGCCUCUUGAGAGAUAUAAAAUACAAUAUUUCACGUAUUUUUGCAACUUCUUUUUAGUGAUCUUUCCUUAAAGUAAUUUUUAAAGUGUGUAAGUUUCUCCUUUUGAAGAUGCUGUGGGCCCUCAGUUGUCAGUGAGCAUAUUCGGUAACCUUAUUAGUAAUCUUUUUCAUGUGCUCAGAUAUCUUAGAGGUAUUUUUCAACCUAAAUUAUUCUACUUUUGUACUAAUUUGGGAAAAAACUGGGCUAGAGAAUGACUAAAUGAUCAUAGUUCCUCAGGGUUCUUUAAAUCUUUUCCAGCCUUAAAAAAUCCAUAAUUUUUUGAUCUGUUUUAUUUCCCUGACCAGGUUCAUUACUGUCACCUUGAAGGGAAGGCAAGAAAAGCUCUAAAAAGCAUUAAAAUUCCAUUGGAAAGGGAAAUAAUUCCACAGUGCCCCUCCUUUGCUGUGUCCACAUCACAGGAGAGAGGAGUCACACAAGACAGAGGCCACUGAGGUUGUUUGAUGUUAUCAAAGAGCUGCUACAGGAUGGGUUUGAAACAGCUCCACGUCAUGUGGCAAAAUCCUGGAGUCGUCCUUGCCCAUGGAAAGGCCUCGUUCCUCCAAGGACACGGUGACACAAAGGCGAGAACCUGGUGUGCUCCACUCUGCCUCAGACCUUUUACACCCCAAAAUAACCUCACCAAAAAUAACCUCCAACCUGCCUUCCUUGGGAAACGUAACCCAAAAUCUCUAUGUUUACUUUCUUCCACAGGGAUGAAAAGCUGGUGUUUUCAGUCUGUUUUUUUUUUUUUUGCUGUUCCUCAGGUAGCCAAAACGCUGUUGCUGGUGUUGGGUUUGUUACUUUUUUCAAGCUUAGAGUGACUCACACACUUCCAUUUUGAAAAGGACCUGUAAAAAUGGCACCAUAGGGGGCUUUGUUUUUUUGCUUGUCUCUGAGGUUGUACCAGGGCUGGCUGCAGCCACUGAAGAGAACAUGUGCCUAUGUUUGGAAGAAAUUCUGAGAAUCUUUACAGUUGCAUCUCUUUCGCUGUCCCACAGCAAAGGAACAAAAAGAGAGGCAAUCCUGCAGGAAGGACAGCUGGAACACGUGGCUGAGAUGUAACUUCCCUCUGUGUGAAGCUGAUUUUAGGGCUUAGAACCCCUUCAACUUCUUUGACUAAGCUCCCACAUGGUCAGUUAACAAGGAUGGAGAUGUUUCUCCUCCCUACAAGUCCUGCAAAGUUGGAAACUUAGAAUUUAUUUUGCAGGCUUGGAGGGAAAGCGGUGCUUGGUUUAUUUAUCAUCACUGGUUGUGAUCUUUGUUCUUGUUCCACUGCAGUGUCAUGAGAUAAUUAAUACUAAAACACCCCUGCUUGUUAGUUUACAUGUUUCUGAUGCCUUUAAAAUCAGUAAAAAAGGGCUGAUGACAUUGCACAGGGGAAAACAGAAUUUAAUACAUUUGUCUUGCAUCCAGAAUUACUUGGCAAAGCUGAUGGUGCACAGGGGACCCGACUCCAAGACUGAAACCAAGCCUUGCUGAAAUCUGAAAGCACAGAUUGCACCCUGGAUGAAUGUGGGAAGGAGCUGGAUGAAUAAAGAGGAUCCCAGAGAAGAUCCUCUGAAUGAAAAACCAGGAGCAGUUUUUCAUCUGGGCACAGCAUCCUUGUGCAGGAGUGACAGAGUUCAUCAAAGGUUACUAAUUACCAUGUAAAUCAUGAGGUUGUCUGGCUGUCUGGACAGACUUGGGUGGGUGACCUGGGGUAGAAUCAUGGGAUCAUUAAGAUUGGAAAAGACUUCCAAGGUCAAGCCCAACCUUUGACCAAAUACCCCCAUGCCCACUAAACCGUGUCACGAAGUGCCACAUCUACUCAUUUUUUGAACACUUCAAGGGAUUGUGACUCCACCACUUCCCUGGGGAGGCUGUUUCAGAGACUUUCAAGGAUGGAGGAGUGUGAAGAGCUCACAGUGUGCCUUGGCUUGGGAGCGCUUAGGGAAGCACAGAGUCGUGCUCUGCCAAAUGAGUUUGUCAGCCCUGAGCCCACGAUGUCCCUCAGCAUUUGAGCCAUGGCUGCUGGGCAAAGAGGCACAGAGAGAACCCUUCCAGCCCUGGAAAACUCAGCAUCGAGGCAUGGAGAGUUCAUCUUUAGCUGGGGGUGGAUCACAUACUGAGCAGCACAGCCAGGUAACGCAGGACAGGUCACCUUGCACCAACCUGAGCUGCCUCAGGGCACUGCAGGCAGCAGCACAGAACAAGGGGUUAGGCCAGGCUGGACUUGAACUAGACAGGACCUGGACAAGGAGGAGGAAGGACAAGGAGGAAGAAUGAGACUUGGGGAAGGCAAAGAAUGAUUCUGUGGGGGAAACUCUGCAAAUAUGUGCUUCCUUUUGCCGAUAAAGGAGGGUGUGAGGCACUGAGAUGAGCUACCUUGUUUGUCUGCUCUCACACCCUGCCAGGCCCUGGCAGCAGCACUCCCUUAUCUCCAGCACAUUGGUACAUUGAGCUGUGCAGCCUUCCCUAAUCCACCACACUGGGCCUGGGCUGCUCCUCCUUCUCUUUCUCCCUGUUCUAAUGGGAGGAUUAAUUUUUAAAAAAAUUUGGAUACUCUUUCAGCUUUAGCUGGAUAAUUCUCAUGCAUUGCUUAAGCCUUUAGCAGUGUAUGGGGGGCAAUAUUGUCUCUGUCAAGGAAAAUGCCUCCCGUGUGAUAAUGAGGGUGCUUCAGCAGCGUUCCCAUGGGUGGAUUGUGGCACAGAGCUCUUCCUUCCACUGCAGGCAGCUCGGGGGGCAGGUUUCACACCUGCCUCUGCUGUAUUUACACCUCUGUUGUUUGUUAUUUACGUGGUUCGGGCUAUGUAAGUAGCAGCAGUCUCUUGUGCGUGUACCCAGAGGAAUUAAACGAAUUUGCAGAGCAA